GACGAACGCUGGCGGCGUGCUUAACACAUGCAAGUCGAACGAAGAGCGACGGAAGCUUGCUUCUAUCAAUCUUAGUGGCGAACGGGUGAGUAACGCGUAAUCAACCUGCCCUUCAGAGGGGGACAACAGUUGGAAACGACUGCUAAUACCGCAUACGAUCUAAUCUCGGCAUCGAGGAUGGAUGAAAGGUGGCCUCUACAUGUAAGCUAUCACUGAAGGAGGGGAUUGCGUCUGAUUAGCUAGUUGGAGGGGUAACGGCCCACCAAGGCGAUGAUCAGUAGCCGGUCUGAGAGGAUGAUCGGCCACAUUGGGACUGAGACACGGCCCAGACUCCUACGGGAGGCAGCAGUGGGGAAUCUUCCGCAAUGGACGAAAGUCUGACGGAGCAACGCCGCGUGAGUGAUGACGGCCUUCGGGUUGUAAAGCUCUGUUAAUCGGGACGAAAGGCCUUCUUGCGAAUAGUGAGAAGGAUUGACGGUACCGGAAUAGAAAGCCACGGCUAACUACGU
RNAcentral lists this ribosomal RNA (509 nucleotides) under uncultured bacterium. RNAcentral's name for it is "partial 16S ribosomal RNA". It matches the Rfam family "Bacterial small subunit ribosomal RNA", at positions 28 to 506 of the family's 1533-position model. The record is from RNAcentral.